Molecule: ribosomal RNA, 974 nt
Filed under: Vibrio sp.
Lineage: Bacteria; Pseudomonadati; Pseudomonadota; Gammaproteobacteria; Vibrionales; Vibrionaceae
Description: bacterial SSU rRNA
Rfam family: Bacterial small subunit ribosomal RNA
Source: RNAcentral
ACACAUGCAGUCGAGCGGAACGAGUUAUCUGAACCUUCGGGGAACGAUAACGGCGUCGAGCGGCGGACGGGUGAGUAAUGCCUAGGAAAUUGCCCUGAUGUGGGGGAUAACCAUUGGAAACGAUGGCUAAUACCGCAUGAUGCCUACGGGCCAAAGAGGGGGACCUUCGGGCCUCUCGCGUCAGGAUAUGCCUAGGUGGGAUUAGCUAGUUGGUGAGGUAAGGGCUCACCAAGGCGACGAUCCCUAGCUGGUCUGAGAGGAUGAUCAGCCACACUGGAACUGAGACACGGUCCAGACUCCUACGGGAGGCAGCAGUGGGGAAUAUUGCACAAUGGGCGCAAGCCUGAUGCAGCCAUGCCGCGUGUGUGAAGAAGGCCUUCGGGUUGUAAAGCACUUUCAGUCGUGAGGAAGGUGGUGUAGUUAAUAGCUGCAUUAUUUGACGUUAGCGACAGAAGAAGCACCGGCUAACUCCGUGCCAGCAGCCGCGGUAAUACGGAGGGUGCGAGCGUUAAUCGGAAUUACUGGGCGUAAAGCGCAUGCAGGUGGUUUGUUAAGUCAGAUGUGAAAGCCCGGGGCUCAACCUCGGAAUAGCAUUUGAAACUGGCAGACUAGAGUACUGUAGAGGGGGGUAGAAUUUCAGGUGUAGCGGUGAAAUGCGUAGAGAUCUGAAGGAAUACCGGUGGCGAAGGCGGCCCCCUGGACAGAUACUGACACUCAGAUGCGAAAGCGUGGGGAGCAAACAGGAUUAGAUACCCUGGUAGUCCACGCCGUAAACGAUGUCUACUUGGAGGUUGUGGCCUUGAGCCGUGGCUUUCGGAGCUAACGCGUUAAGUAGACCGCCUGGGGAGUACGGUCGCAAGAUUAAAACUCAAAUGAAUUGACGGGGGCCCGCACAAGCGGUGGAGCAUGUGGUUUAAUUCGAUGCAACGCGAAAAACCUUACCUACUCUUGACAUCCAGAGACUUUCCAGAAAU